GCCGGGCAUGGUAGUGCACACUUGUAAUCCCAGCAGCUCUGGAGGCCGAGACAGGAGGAUCGCGAGUUCAAAGCGAACCUUGGCAACGGUGAGGCGCUGAGCAACUCGGUGAGACCCUGUCUCAA
This 125-nucleotide small RNA is filed under the name Marmota monax (woodchuck). Lineage: Eukaryota; Metazoa; Chordata; Mammalia; Rodentia; Sciuridae. The record is from RNAcentral.